AGCUAAUGAUGGGGACAAUGCUUAAGCAAUUCUUUGUAUCUUUCCCAAGCUUCAUACAAUGAUUUCGAAUCUUGUUGCAUGAAUGAUGUAAUGUCAUUCCUCAUUUU
Molecule: small nucleolar RNA, 107 nt
Filed under: Theobroma cacao (cacao)
Lineage: Eukaryota; Viridiplantae; Streptophyta; Magnoliopsida; Malvales; Malvaceae
Description: Plant small nucleolar RNA R71
Rfam family: Plant small nucleolar RNA R71
About the family: R71 is a member of the C/D box family of snoRNAs containing the C (UGAUGA) and D (CUGA) box motifs. Multiple nearly identical copies of this snoRNA have been identified in Arabidopsis, and it is thought to function as a 2'-O-ribose methylation guide for 18S ribosomal RNA.
Source: Rfam by way of RNAcentral